CCUACGGGUGGCAGCAGUGGGGAAUAUUGCACAAUGGGGGAAACCCUGAUCCAGCGACGCCGCGUGAGUGAAGAAGUAUCUCGGUACGGAAAGCUCUAUCAGCCGGGGAGAAAAUUACGGUACCUGACUCAGAAGCCCCGGCUAACUACGUGCCAGCAGCCGCGGUAAUACGUAGGGGGCAAGCGGUAUCCGGAUUUACUGGGUGUAAAGGGAGCGUAGACGGGAGCACAAGUCUGGAGUGAAAUCCCGGGGCUUAACCCCCGAACUGCUGUGGAAACUGUGCGGCGUGAGUGCAGGAGGGGUAAGCGGAAUGCGUGGUGUAGCGGUGAAAUGCGUAGAUAUUACGAGGAACACCGGUGGCGAAGGCGGCUUACUGGAGGGCAACUGACGUUGAGGCGCGAAAGCGUGGGGAGCAAACAGGAUUAGAUACCCUGGUAGUC
Molecule: ribosomal RNA, 440 nt
Filed under: uncultured bacterium
Lineage: Bacteria
Description: partial 16S ribosomal RNA
Rfam family: Bacterial small subunit ribosomal RNA
Source: RNAcentral